GUGAGGAAUAUUGCGCAAUGGAGGCAACUCUGACGCAGCCAUGCCGCGUGCAGGAAGAAGGCGCUACGCGUUGUAAACUGCUUUUAACCGGGAAGAAACCCCAGGACGUGUCCUGGGUUGACGGUACCGGAGGAAUAAGCACCGGCUAACUUCGUGCCAGCAGCCGCGGUAAUACGAAGGGUGCAAGCGUUAUCCGGAUUCAUUGGGUUUAAAGGGUGCGUAGGCGGAGCGUUAAGUCAGUGGUGAAAUCCUGCAGCUUAACUGUAGACUUGCCAUUGAUACUGGCGCUCUUGAAUGCGCUUGAAGUGGGCGGAAUGUGCCGUGUAGCGGUGAAAUGCUUAGAUAUGGCACAGAACACCAAUUGCGAAGGCAGCUCACUAAGGCGAUACUGACGCUGAGGCACGAAAGCGUGGGGAUCGAACAGGAUUAGAUACCCUAGUAGUCC
This 445-nucleotide ribosomal RNA is filed under the name uncultured bacterium. RNAcentral's name for it is "partial 16S ribosomal RNA". It matches the Rfam family "Bacterial small subunit ribosomal RNA", at positions 354 to 796 of the family's 1533-position model. The record is from RNAcentral.